AGCAGCCGCGGUAAUUCCAGCUCCAAUAGCGUAUAUUAAAGUUGUUGCAGUUAAAAAGCUCGUAGUUGAAUUUCGGGAUCAAUAUGUUGGUCGUGCCUCGGUACGUACUAGCUUAUUGGUUUCUCCUUUCUGAAGAACCAUGAUGUCAUUUAUUUGGUGUCGUGGGGAAUCAGGACUGCUACUUUGAAAAAUUAGAGUGUUUAAAGCAGGCUCACGCUUGAAUACAUUAGCAUGGAAUAAUGAAAUAGGACGUUUGAUUCUAUUUUGUUGGUUUCUAGGAUCGACGUAAUGAUUAAUAGGGAUAGUUGGGGGCAUUAGUAUUCAAUUGCCAGAGGUGAAAUUCUUGGAUUUAUUGAAGACUAACUACUGCGAAAGCAUUUGCCAAGGAUGUUUUCAUUAAUCAAGAACGAAAGUUAGGGGAUCGAAGACGAUCAGAUACCGUCGUAGUCUUAACCAUAAACUAUGCCGACUAGGGAUCGGAUGAUGUUAAUUUUUAAUGACUCAUUCGGCGCCUUAAC
RNAcentral lists this ribosomal RNA (518 nucleotides) under uncultured Glomus. Its description in RNAcentral is "SSU rRNA". It matches the Rfam family "Eukaryotic small subunit ribosomal RNA", at positions 569 to 1092 of the family's 1831-position model. Lineage: Eukaryota; Fungi; Glomeromycota; Glomeromycetes; Glomerales; Glomeraceae. The record is from RNAcentral.